RNAcentral lists this transfer RNA (74 nucleotides) under Actinomycetes bacterium. RNAcentral's name for it is "tRNA-Asn". It matches the Rfam family "tRNA". Rfam says of the family: Transfer RNA (tRNA) molecules are approximately 80 nucleotides in length. Their secondary structure includes four short double-helical elements and three loops (D, anti-codon, and T loops). Further hydrogen bonds mediate the characteristic L-shaped molecular structure. tRNAs have two regions of fundamental functional importance: the anti-codon, which is responsible for specific mRNA codon recognition, and the 3' end, to which the tRNAs corresponding amino acid is attached (by aminoacyl-tRNA synthetases). tRNAs cope with the degeneracy of the genetic code in two manners: having more than one tRNA (with a specific anti-codon) for a particular amino acid; and 'wobble' base-pairing, i.e. permitting non-standard base-pairing at the 3rd anti-codon position. RNAcentral also lists the same sequence under 1 other name. The record is from RNAcentral. Lineage: Bacteria; Bacillati; Actinomycetota; Actinomycetes.
UCCGGGGUAGCUCAGUUGGCAGAGCAACGGACUGUUAAUCCGUUUGUCGUGGGUUCGAGCCCCACCCCCGGAGC